GUCGACCGAUUGUAGUUUCAACUGAUCCUGAAUUCAACCAUUACAUCUUGGGUCAAGAAGAAAGAUUAGUGGAAAUAUGGUAUUUGGACACAUUUUCAAAGCUUUUUUUAAGUGAAUCAAGAAUUAAUUCUGCUGGUUAUAUUCAUAAGUACAUAAGAAGCUUUUUCUUGAGUAAUUUUGGUUCGGAGAACCUUAAGGAACAGUUGCUUCCUCAAAUAGAAGAUAUGAUUAACAAAACUCUUCGCUCAUGGUCGAAUCAACCAUCAGUGGAUGUAAAAUAUUUUGCUUCUGUGGUAAAUUUCAAGCUCAAUCUAGC
This 316-nucleotide unclassified non-coding RNA is filed under the name Hevea brasiliensis (rubber tree). Lineage: Eukaryota; Viridiplantae; Streptophyta; Magnoliopsida; Malpighiales; Euphorbiaceae. The record is from RNAcentral.